RNAcentral lists this ribosomal RNA (273 nucleotides) under uncultured soil bacterium. Its description in RNAcentral is "partial 16S ribosomal RNA". It matches the Rfam family "Bacterial small subunit ribosomal RNA", at positions 26 to 285 of the family's 1533-position model. The record is from RNAcentral.
AGAAUCAACGCUGGCGGCGUGCCUCAGACAUGCAAGUCGAACGCGAAAGUCCCCUUCGGGGACAAGUAGAGUGGCGCACGGGUGAGUAACACGUAGGUAAUCUACCUUCGGAUGGGGAAUAACAACCGGAAACGGUUGCUAAUACCGCAUAAUGCAGCGGCACCUAAUGGUGACAGUUGUUAAAGCGGGGAUCGAAAGACCUCGCGUCUGAAGAGGAGCCUGCGGCGGAUUAGCUAGUUGGUAGGUAACGGCCUACCAAGGCGACGAUCCGUA